CCCUGGCCCCGCCCCACGCCCUGGCCCCGCCCCGCUCCCUGAUAGGCGGGGCUAAGGCCGGAGCUCGGCGGGAGCCGAAGUCCGGGAACUGAGUGCCUGCAGAGCGGGUGGAGACCCCUGCCAGGUCCCCUUUUCCGGAGCUGUAGGUCUGAACUCCAAAAGACAGGUCUUUAGCAUGCUAGAAGUACAACAAUCAAGCAAAACUAGGACAAGCUUUAAUCCUUCCAAAUUGGGUGAAGCGGCUACUUUGCUUGUACAAGAAAGGCUAACCUGACCUCUCUAGAACUCCAAGAGUCCUCAAAGGCAGCGGUGGGAGGAGGUCCGAGGGUAUGAGAGUUCUUGCAAAGUUUAGUAGGAAGUUUCCAUUUACCCUUGUGCAGGCAGCACGGAAUAACUAGAAUGUCCUCUUUUUUGUUUGUUUUGGACUAUAUGCUGCUUAGAGUGAUCGCUACCUGUGGUGAUCACAAGCUCUGCAAUGGUAAUUUUAUAUGUCUGAUGAAUAAAAAAGGAAAAUUAACAAUAAAUGUAAUUUCAGUUUA
This is a long non-coding RNA of Bubalus bubalis (water buffalo), 539 nucleotides long. RefSeq lists it as uncharacterized. The record is from RefSeq and is a predicted model, not a curated record. The transcript is spliced from 2 exons. Lineage: Eukaryota; Metazoa; Chordata; Mammalia; Artiodactyla; Bovidae.